GUGAAAACAACAUGGUCCAGAAGACAACUAUUCAGCAGCUCACCGAAAACGCCACCAACCAAGAUGCCAAGAUCCAGCAUCUCUCUAAGCUCACCACCAACCAAGAGGCCCAGAUCCAGCAGCUGUCUCAAAAUGCUGCCAGUCAGGAGGCAAAAAUUCAGCAGCUGUGUGAAAACACAACCAAUCAGGAUGCUAAGAUCCAGGAAGUGUUUGCCUACCUCAGAUCUGAAGAGGAAGAAAAUAAAACUCUGUGGGGUCAAAUUUUAUAUUUGACCACGGAGCUAGAUAAGUUCAAGAAGUCAACUGAUGACUGGAAGGAUUUAUACCACAGAGAGAGAGAUCUGCAUGCAGAGAGCAAAAAGCGAAAGCUGGAUCUAGAGAAGCAGCUGAAUAGCACGACUCAGCACCUCCAAGCCCAGCUGAAUCUAAGAGGGCUGAUGGUGGCUGCAGAAAAGCAGCUGACGAGGGACUUGAAUGAGCUGCAAGCAUCGUAUGAGGAACUCCAGCAAGCUCAUGAGACACUGCUGAAAGAACAACAGGAGCAGAAGGCACAGAAAGAAAUGUUGUCACUUCAACAAAGUGUCUCUGAGCUGAAGGAGCUCAUAAAAAGUCUGCUUCAUCCUGAUAUAGUCCACCUGGAAGAGCAUGUGGGUUACCCUAACCAGAAGCUGGAGCGAGUGCAUGCCUGGGCUGAGGAGCAGAGCGAUCUGCUCAAUAAACAGAAAGCCCUGUACCAGAAGGAGAAAAGACGUAGGCGCACACUCGACAAACAGCUGAAGAAAGCUAAGAGGCUGCCGAAACUGAGCAGAAAAACAGAGAUCUGCUGCUGGAUGCAUCGAACCAACUGGAGACUUAUCGGACGAGUCAAUCCCUCAGAGCUGCAUCACUGAGAAGCAGCCUAACAAACCAACUAUGUCUGGAUGCAUGCAAGAAAACCAAACGAACGUGGCUCAAGAAAAAAAAAAAAGAAGAAGAUGAAGAACGAACAAAGAGCCUUUAAAAUAAGUGUGUUCGUCAUGAGCAGCAUCCCGACAUCAUCUCUGGAUUAAAGAACAUUUGGAUGCAAUUAGGAAAUCCAGAAGAAGAUGGCUCCAGGAAAAAAAAGAAGAAUGAACAACAAAGAGCCAUCAGAAUAACCAUGUUUGUCUUUUUGAUUAAAGACAAGAAGUGGGGCAGUGGCAUUUAAAUGACACUGUUCUUUCUUUUUUCUUUUUUCUUAAGGACAGCACUGUUAUUCCAAAACAAGAGCAUUGGAAAUAAAAAUAAAUAAAUUGGCAAUACCAAA
This is a long non-coding RNA of Amphiprion ocellaris (clown anemonefish), 1285 nucleotides long. The record is from Ensembl. Lineage: Eukaryota; Metazoa; Chordata; Actinopteri; Pomacentridae.